Long non-coding RNA from Cimex lectularius (bed bug), 284 nucleotides. RefSeq lists it as uncharacterized. The transcript has 2 exons. Lineage: Eukaryota; Metazoa; Arthropoda; Insecta; Hemiptera; Cimicidae. The record is from RefSeq and is a predicted model, not a curated record.
UUCUUCCGACGGUGUCCUUUCACUCCAAGCACCCAAGCUGAACUCCAAGGAGAAUCCUUCUCGUGAAAUUCCUAUCACUCAUACACAUGCUCCAGCUUUGAAGCAAAGAAAGGAUAAAAAUGAGAAAAUGGAAAAGUAAUUUUAAAAGAAAAAAAAAUUCAUUCCAAUUAAAUGUCUGAUAUGUAACUUUUAAGUCUGAUUUAAUUGCUUUCUUUUAACUAUUUAUUGUUAGUAUCCCGUGUUUUUUUGUACCUUCAAUAAAAAUAAAACAAUUUUUGAAUGUA